This is a long non-coding RNA of Tyto alba (common barn owl), 279 nucleotides long. RefSeq lists it as uncharacterized. NCBI's taxonomy places the organism in Eukaryota, Metazoa, Chordata, Aves, Strigiformes, Tytonidae. The transcript is spliced from 3 exons. The record is from RefSeq and is a predicted model, not a curated record.
AAAUAAAGGGUGUUCAGCAGGCACCAGCCUCCCUUACUGAAGUCUGCUCACCUCUGCCCCAGAGUUCAUGUUUCGUAUGCUAUGUGUGUCUCCAUUUACCAAUGAGGAAAAGGUGAAAAAUAGAGAUUUCAUCACUCCUUUUCUCCUGGGAAGUUAAAUAAAAAAGAAGGACCAGCAGCUUGAAAUUUAAACAGGGGAUUUGUUGAAUCAGUGAAACAAAUAUUCAGAGAAGUGGAUUUCUCCUCCAAGAACCAGGUGAACCCUUUCAAGGUUGACUUA